AGUGAACGCUGGCGGUAGGCCUAACACAUGCAAGUCGAACGGCAGCACAGUAAGAGCUUGCUCUUACGGGUGGCGAGUGGCGGACGGGUGAGGAAUACAUCGGAAUCUACUUUUUCGUGGGGGAUAACGCAGGGACACUUACGCUAAUACCGCAUACGACCUACGGGUGAAAGCAUGGGAUCUUCGGACCUCGCGCGAUUGAAUGAGCCGAGGUCGGAUUAGCUAGUUGGCGGGGUAAAGGCCCACCAAGGCGACGAUCCGUAGCUGGUCUGAGAGGAUGAUCAGCCACACUGGAACUGAGACACGGUCCAGACUCCUACGGGAGGCAGCAGUGGGGAAUAUUGGACAAUGGGCGCAAGCCUGAUCCAGCCAUACCGCGUGGGUGAAGAAGGCCUUCGGGUUGUAAAGCCCUUUUGGUGGGAAAGAAAAGCAGCAGGUUAAUACCCCGCUGUUCUGACGGUACCCAAAGAAUAAGCACCGGCUAACUUCGUG
This 492-nucleotide ribosomal RNA is filed under the name uncultured bacterium. RNAcentral's name for it is "partial 16S ribosomal RNA". It matches the Rfam family "Bacterial small subunit ribosomal RNA", at positions 29 to 507 of the family's 1533-position model. The record is from RNAcentral.